AAGUCGUAACAAGGUUUCCGUAGGUGAACCUGCGGAAGGAUCAUUAGAGUAACAAACAAAGGGGGACGAGGUUGUAGCUGGCCGCUCCGGUGGCAUGUGCACGCCUCUCCUCCGAAACCAAACCACACACCUGUGCACCUUCGCGUGGGUCGGGAGGAGUAAAACCCGAUCGGCCUGCGUCCUUUUACAACAAACGCAUGUCUUCAGAAUGUAACACAUUGAUGUCUUAAAACAACAUCCAAUACAACUUUCAACAACGGAUCUCUUGGCUCUC
RNAcentral lists this unclassified non-coding RNA (274 nucleotides) under air metagenome. Its description in RNAcentral is "partial contains small subunit ribosomal RNA, internal transcribed spacer 1, and 5.8S ribosomal RNA". The stretch from base 1 to 46 matches the Rfam family "Eukaryotic small subunit ribosomal RNA", at positions 1786 to 1831 of the family's 1831-position model. The record is from RNAcentral.